Molecule: non-coding RNA, 970 nt
Organism: Manis javanica (Malayan pangolin)
Lineage: Eukaryota; Metazoa; Chordata; Mammalia; Pholidota; Manidae
Source: RefSeq, a predicted model, not a curated record
GACCGCUCAAUGGCGACUCCAUCACCGAGUACGAAGUGGGCGUCUGCGAAGGGAGGAUUGUUCUACUCGUUACCCCAUUGAGCAUUGUGCGCCGCGAUAUCGAGACUGACGGAGGGAGAGGAGAGAUCAGGGGAGCCCCUCCUGGUUCGGAGAACCUGUGGGUGGGUGUCAGCCUUAAGCCCUGCCCGCCUGCUCCGGCCUCCGGGGACCUGGACGGGUUUGGGGUCCAGAGAGGUGCAGUGGGUUCUUGUCUGGUUAAUGGGCAGGACCCCGUGAGCAUCGUUUAGAAGAGGGAUCCCUGCUCAGGCUGACGUUGGGGGCGAUGAUGCUGUUCGGGGCAUCGUGGUGCGGAUCGCAGCAGUCUCCCUUCCGCAGGCGCGGCGAGGAGGAGGGCAGGCGCCCGCUGUUCCCAUCCCUUCUUACUCCUCAACAGCCCGCACCCAGGAGAGCAGGGAAGGGUUUCUUCUGAAGCAUCCUAUCGUGUGUGUGUGUUUGUUUAUUGCCCUGCGGUACUGCAAAAGGAGGGACAGUGAUCCUAAGGACAAGAGUUUUUGACCCAAGACCAGGAGAUUACAAUUUGGAAAAGAUGGUGUUUAAAAACUGAUCAUAUCCACAAAGGUGACAACAACAUGAACCUGAAGUCUUUUAUCAGUGGAUAGUGUUUUUUUUUUGUUGUAAAAAUAUGUAUUGAUUGAAAAAAUGACUUCUGUAACAGGAUUGCAAGAAUAUAAGAAUCCUUUUUCUUUAUGGAAAAAUUGGAAGAUUUAACAAACACAAACAAAAUAGUUUACCCUGCCUUUUUAAAUGCCAUAUCAGUUGUCUGUUAUCAUUUUCAUAAUGUUUCCUUUUUUUUUUUUUUCAGGUUUCAGUUUAUUCCAGAAUUUUUUUUUUUUAACUAUUAAGUUCUCCCUUGGUACCCAACUUUAAGAAAAUAAAUUUAUUUCAAUGCAAAUGAGUGCAGUAUGGUUCU